UACGUAGGGGGCUAGCGUUGUCCGGAAUCAUUGGGCGUAAAGCGCGUGUAGGCGGUCCGGUAAGUCCGCUGUGAAAGUCGGGGGCUCAACCCUCGGAUGCCGGUGGAUACUGUCGGGCUUGAGUACGGAAGAGGCGAGUGGAAUUCCUGGUGUAGAGGUGAAAUUCGUAGAUAUCAGGAGGAACACCAGUGGCGAAGGCGGCAUCCUGGACCGGUAUUGACGCUGAGGCGCGAAAGCCAGGGGAGCAAACGGG
RNAcentral lists this ribosomal RNA (253 nucleotides) under uncultured bacterium. RNAcentral's name for it is "partial 16S ribosomal RNA". It matches the Rfam family "Bacterial small subunit ribosomal RNA", at positions 524 to 776 of the family's 1533-position model. The record is from RNAcentral.